AUCUAGAAUGGUGAUGGGUGAAUUUGUAGAAGGAUGAGAGUCAAAGAAUCCUUCUGGGAACUAAUUUUUGGCCUUCAACAAGAAUUGUGAUAU
Molecule: microRNA precursor, 93 nt
Organism: Cercocebus atys (sooty mangabey)
Lineage: Eukaryota; Metazoa; Chordata; Mammalia; Primates; Cercopithecidae
Source: Ensembl